UUCCGUAUAAAAACGAUCUGCGCGUCAAUGACGCGGACGUAUUCGCGAGGCGAAUAGAAAGGACGAAUUCAGUGGGGAAAAAAAAAAAACCUAUAUAAAUAUAUAUAAUAUCAUCCCGCUAUAUACUGUCGAAUCGCGGUGACUCAUCUGCUGCUUACGUGUGUAACGUAAAGACAAGUAGUGACUCAUAUCCAAACCGAUUUCAACCCCAGACUCGCGGAUAACAAUUUAAUAUCCAAUAUAAAUAAAUUGAUCAGUAUAAAGUAAGUUGCGCGUAUACGUCGUUUCGCCGUUUUACGAUGACGCGCAUGGUGCUGUCUUACACAAACGCACCAUAAUAUAGCUAUAUCCCUAUCUAUACAAUCUGUACGUACGGCAGAGACGACUUUUGUGCUGUUUGUUCCACAAUUCGUGUAAAUCGAUCCGUUAUCAAACUUAAAGGCUUACAAAAAUUAUUUCGGUACAACGUUGACGCUGUUUUUUUUGUUAUUUCAAUUUUCAUUCGAGUAUGUGAAAUAUCACAAUUGAAUAAUGUCUAUAUCUCAAUUGCAGUGGCGUGCCCAGGAAUUUUCAAUGGGAGGGAAUGUAACAAAUAAAAAUCGCGAAAAAAGAGUAAAAUCGUCUUCUUUACCCAACUCGACUAUGGGAAUUGACAAUUUAAUAGCCAGAUCCUAAAAUCGGCCGAAAUUUAUGAGUUUCGAUAUUAGAUUACACAUAUUUUUUUGUAUUCUUAAGCCAAUGUAGGGGAUAUAAUUCCCAACCUCCCUCCCUGGGCACGCCACUGCUCAUUUGAAAAUUGAAAUAUCGAAAAACACCUAUAACCCGUUCCACAGAUAAUAUGUCCAAUUUUAAUCAAGGCAAUAGAUCAAUUCACUAUAAUAUUAAAACUAACAGCGCAAAGUAGACCUGGCUGAACACGAAUUUGCCAUGCCAAAGGUUUGUAAAACGGUGACAGCACAUGCGGAUGCGGUCAUAUCACGUCCAAUUAACUUUUAAUAUUUUAUUUGUGUUCUGUUAUUUCUACCAAUACACCGGUGCUGUUAUUUUAAACAAUUGACUAUCGGAAUAAAAAUCGCGAUGUUCGUAUACGAUGUUAUUCGGAACGGAUGACGUUUUUCAAAUAUUCAUUAUUGCAAGACGCUCGGUUUGUAUACAGUCUUAAACCGAUUCGAUUACAAUAACAUAAUACGAAUAUUCUUAUGAUGAUAAGAGAUUGUUUUUUUUUCUGAAUGCUAAGAUAACAUAGUUAUAUUUUGUUAUUC
Cinara cedri is the source of this 1262-nucleotide non-coding RNA. NCBI's taxonomy places the organism in Eukaryota, Metazoa, Arthropoda, Insecta, Hemiptera, Aphididae. The record is from the annotation of a GenBank genome assembly.